Molecule: non-coding RNA, 1013 nt
Organism: Ictidomys tridecemlineatus (thirteen-lined ground squirrel)
Lineage: Eukaryota; Metazoa; Chordata; Mammalia; Rodentia; Sciuridae
Source: RefSeq, a predicted model, not a curated record
UUCCCCUUCCCUUCUAAACUUGCUUUGUCUUGAUUCCUGGUACCACUUUCCACCUUGUUGCCAAGACAGGAGUCUAGGAUCACCUCCAGCAUCUCCUAUGUCCUCACUGUCUACAUGGAUUGUUAUUCAGGUUACACUGAUUAGGUUCCUAAGAUGCCUCUCAACAUAUCUGCUCUUCUCUUUCCGCUGCCAAUGACUGGUCACCUCAUCAUCAUUUCCUAAACCCAUUCACUCUCCCUGCAUGUAUGUCACAGAGAUCUUUUAAAAUUCACCUUGCAGAAGAAAAACUGAACACAGAAAAUAUCUUGAUGGCUCAUUUUUGCCAAAAGACACACAGAUUCUACUAACCUGAACACGUGAGACCUACUGGACAUUGCAGCAGAUGCCAUGGCAUAUGGAAGAAAAGACCAGAUCUCUUUCUCCUCCAUGUGAGGACACAGCAAGAAAGCAUCUGUCCACAAACCAGGAAAAGGACCAUACCAAGAACCUGACCAUACUGGAACCCUGAUCUUGGGCUUCUCAGCCUUUAGAACUUCAGAAAAGUCCUGCUAAAGAAGUCAGUUCCUGUGCCCAGAUGCUAGAGAAUUGGGCCUACAGUUUCUAAUGCUUAUCCCAGAGGUCAUGCAUCCUAGCAACUUCGAGAUGGAAGGCCAUCAAUCACACAACCUACAGCAAGAGGGCAAACUGACUUUAACUCAACAAACACAUGUUAAAUUAUCCUGAAAUCAUAAGGACUAUGAAUAAUGCUUGGAAGGAAGGAAGCCACAGCCCUGUUGAGCAAGAAAGAGUACUAUUGUUAAACAGUGAUGUCUGCCAUGAGAACUGAGUACUGAAGUAGAAAUAUUUGUGACAUAUAAAUUCACUCCUGAUAUGGCAUUAUUUUAUUUUUUUUUUUAAUUUUCAAGAGACUAUGUCAGUUACCAUCUCCUUCCUCCAUGAAGCCAUGGUUGAUGGAAACUAAAUGGUAUGUUCCCUUAAGGGAACAGAGAAGUCAGACCUGUAAGUUUACUUAC